AGUAGGGUCAGCUAAACAAGCUAUCGGGCCAUACCCCGAAAUGAUGGUUUAACCCCUUCGCCUGCUA
This 67-nucleotide transfer RNA is filed under the name Anthus richardi. RNAcentral's name for it is "tRNA-Met". The record is from RNAcentral. Lineage: Eukaryota; Metazoa; Chordata; Aves; Passeriformes; Motacillidae. RNAcentral also lists the same sequence under 1 other name.